RNAcentral lists this long non-coding RNA (868 nucleotides) under Rattus norvegicus (Norway rat). Its description in RNAcentral is "long non-coding RNA NONRATT020383". The record is from RNAcentral. Lineage: Eukaryota; Metazoa; Chordata; Mammalia; Rodentia; Muridae.
UUAAAAAGUACCAGGUUAAAUGUAAACUAUAAAAUACUUUAACUAUAAAAUGCAGCCAGAAGUAUGUCUGAGUCUCCACAGUCAAUUGUGUAAUUUACGUGGUAUUGGAGAAGUCAAAGGGCAUGCCACAGGAGUGAGAUGCACGCCCCCACACACUUCGACAGCAUAGAGAUUAGGACACGCAGAGUCGUCUCUUCUUGGUUUCACUUCUGGUGUAAUGAGAAUUCUAUUCUCAGAAUCCACUUAGACAACAGUGACCAGGGUACAUUAAUCCUUACUUUCAGCCCACAGAGAACAAUUCAUAGUCUUUUAAAUCACAAUCAAGCUGGCUACAUGAUUUCCAAAAGGCUAGAGCAGGACGAAUGCCCACGUGUGAGGUAAUUAUUGCCAUGAGGGUCACAGUUUGUAUAAGGUAAUAUAGCUAAACCCUUCCGAAGACACUGCUAGGUGCUCUGCCCGGGCUCCAGAACACCUACUGACACCCACCAGGAUCUCAGAUCUACACUAGCUGGGUUUGCUUCCAAUGGAUUUAAAGUUCUACAAGAAUUUAGAACUUGUGUAAACGACCUAAGAAUUUAGGCAAACAAGCCUGGAGCUAGUCAGUAAAGACAUUUUUAAAAGAAAAGAAAAACAAGAAACCCAACCGAACAGAGUUUGAAGAGGGUAGAGUGGAGGUCUAAAGCAUUUCUAGAUUUUGUCAUCUCUCAAGUGACCCGAAACUGCCUGUAUAGCACCCUCAGCCCCAUGGCCCCCGCUUCCUCCUCCCCCCCCUCCUGGCUUCCUGUGGCUGCUCUGCUAGGUUCCGCUGUUGUCCCUCUCUUUGAGAAGGGGGUCUCUUGCAAGAAAACUCAAUAUUGUUCCUCUUCCC